Non-coding RNA from Monodelphis domestica (gray short-tailed opossum), 550 nucleotides. Lineage: Eukaryota; Metazoa; Chordata; Mammalia; Didelphimorphia; Didelphidae. The record is from the annotation of a RefSeq genome assembly.
UCCCAAUAUAGAGGCUGGCCUUCACCUGGGCUCUGAAGAUGAAGCUGAGAGGCCAGAGGUGGUUCUGGGUCUGUUUUGCAUGGGGAGGUCUCAGCCCCUGCACAAGGCUGUCCUGACAUAUAAAUACCUCUCUAUCCCCGUCUGCCUCAUUCUGGGCUCAGAGCUCUCUGCCUGCAGCUCUACAGAGGACACAAUGAUGUCCCCAUCCCAGCUCCUCUGCCUCCUGGUGCUCUGGGCUCAGGAGUCCAGGACAGCCAUUGUGAUGACCCAGACUCCAGCCUCCCUGUCUGUGGCUCUGGGAGAGACACUCACCAUCAGCUGCAGGGCCAGUGAGGACAUUAGUGAGAAUUUAGCCUGGUACCAGCAGCCUCCAGGAAAACCUCCCAAACCUCUUAUCUAUGCUGCUGAUGAGCUGGAGUCUGGGGUCCCUGCCCGCUUCAGGGGCAGGGGGUCUGGGACAGAUUUUACUCUCACAAUCUGCAGUGUGGAGGCUGAGGAUGGUGCACAUUACUUUUGUCAGCAAGGUUCUCCCACAGUGAUGGAGGCCUGA